GGGCCUCUAGCUCAGUCGGUAGAGCAUCGGACUUUUAAUCCGCGGGUCGUGGGUUCGAGCCCCACGGGGCCCACCUCAA
RNAcentral lists this transfer RNA (79 nucleotides) under Leifsonia xyli subsp. xyli str. CTCB07. RNAcentral describes it as "tRNA-Lys". It matches the Rfam family "tRNA". Rfam says of the family: Transfer RNA (tRNA) molecules are approximately 80 nucleotides in length. Their secondary structure includes four short double-helical elements and three loops (D, anti-codon, and T loops). Lineage: Bacteria; Bacillati; Actinomycetota; Actinomycetes; Micrococcales; Microbacteriaceae. The record is from RNAcentral.